RNAcentral lists this ribosomal RNA (1742 nucleotides) under Legionella pneumophila. RNAcentral's name for it is "partial 23S ribosomal RNA". It matches the Rfam family "Bacterial large subunit ribosomal RNA", at positions 1 to 1769 of the family's 2925-position model. Lineage: Bacteria; Pseudomonadati; Pseudomonadota; Gammaproteobacteria; Legionellales; Legionellaceae. The record is from RNAcentral.
GGUCAAGAAGAGAAGCGCAAACGGUGGAUGCCUUGGCAGUAAGAGGCGAAGAAGGACGUGGAAUCCUGCGAAAAGCUAUGGGGAGCUGGAAACGAGCGUUGAGCCAUAGAUGUCCGAAUGGGGGAACCCGGCUGCAGCGAUGCGGUCAUUUGCAUUUGAAUACAUAGGAUGCAAAGGCGAACUCGGGGAACUGAAACAUCUAAGUACCCGAAGGAAAAGAAAUCAAGAGAGAUUCUCCAAGUAGCGGCGAGCGAACGGGGAGGAGCCUGGCGUGAUUUAUUAUUGAACUGAGUAGAACAAUUUGGGAAAGUUGGCGAUAGAGGGUGAAAGCCCCGUAUACGAAGGUUUGAUGAGGAACUAGGCACGCGAACAAGUAGGCCGGGACACGUGAAAUCCUGGUUGAAGAUGGGUGGACCAUCAUCCAAGGCUAAAUACUACUUACUGACCGAUAGUGAACCAGUACCGUGAGGGAAAGGUGAAAAGAACCCCGGAGAGGGGAGUGAAAUAGAAUCUGAAACCGUUUGCGUACAAGCAGUGGGAGCAUGGUUUAGGCUGUGUGACUGCGUACCUUUUGUAUAAUGGGUCAGCGAGUUACUUUCAGUGGCGAGGUUAACUGCAUAAGGGAGCCGUAGAGAAAUCGAGUCUGAAUAGGGCGAUAGUCGCUGGGAGUAGACCCGAAACCGGGCGAUCUAGCCAUGUGCAGGAUGAAGGUUGGGUAACACCAACUGGAGGUCCGAACCGGGUAAUGUUGAAAAAUUAUCGGAUGACGUGUGGCUAGGAGUGAAAGGCUAAUCAAGCCCGGAGAUAGCUGGUUCUCCCCGAAAGCUAUUUAGGUAGCGCCUCGUGAAUGAUUACUGGGGGUAGAGCACUGUUUCGGCUAGGGGGCUGUCAUGGCUUACCAAACCGAUGCAAACUCCGAAUACCGGCUAAUUGAAUCACGGGAGACACACGGCGGGUGCUAACGUCCGUCGUGGAGAGGGAAACAACCCAGACCGCCAGCUAAGGUCCCCAAGUACUAGUUAAGUGGGAAACGAUGUGGGAAGGCAUAGACAGCCAGGAGGUUGGCUUAGAAGCAGCCACCCUUUAAAGAAAGCGUAAUAGCUCACUGGUCGAGUCGGCCUGCGCGGAAGAUGUAACGGGGCUAAAACUAGUCACCGAAGCUGCGGAUGUGCGCGAAGGCGCACGUGGUAGGGGAGCGUUCUGUAGGCUGAUGAAGGUGCAUUGAGAAGUGUGCUGGAGGUAUCAGAAGUGCGAAUGCUGACAUGAGUAACGAUAAUGUGGGUGAAAAGCCCACACGCCGGAAGUCCCAGGUUUCCUGCACGACGUUAAUCGGAGCAGGGUGAGUCGGCCCCUAAGGCGAGGCUGAAGAGCGUAGUCGAUGGGAACCAGGUUAAUAUUCCUGGACUUUUUAUAAGUGGUGAAGUGGGGACGAAGAAGGCUAGGUGAGCCAGGCGUUGGUUGUCCUGGUACUUGCAUGUAGGGGGGAAGACUUGGCAAAUCCGGUUUUCCAUAACUCUGAGGUGCGAAGUGGUUCUGACCUUUUGGUACAGAGAAGUCAUUGAUGCCCGGCUUCCAGGAAAAGCUGCUAGCCAUAACUUAUAGAGAACCGUACCGCAAACCGACACAGGUGGACAGGUAGAGAAUACUAAGGCGCUUGAGAGAACUCGGGUGAAGGAACUAGGCAAAAUGGUACCGUAACUUCGGGAGAAGGUACGCCCUUUCUGGUGAUGGGAUUUACUUUC